CGGUGCUUGCACUGGUCAAUCUAGUGGCGAACGGGUGAGUAACACGUGGGUAACCUGCCCAUCAGAGGGGGAUAACAUCCGGAAACGGAUGCUAAAACCGCAUAGGUCUUCGAGCCGCAUGGCUUGAAGAGGAAAAGAGGCGCAAGCUUCUGCUGAUGGAUGGACCCGCGGUGCAUUAGCUAGUUGGUGAGGUAACGGCUCACCAAGGCAGUGAUGCAUAGCCGACCUGAGAGGGUGAUCGGCCACAUUGGGACUGAGACACGGCCCAAACUCCUACGGGAGGCAGCAGUAGGGAAUCUUCCGCAAUGGACGCAAGUCUGACGGAGCAACGCCGCGUGAGUGAAGAAGGUUUUCGGAUCGUAAAACUCUGUUGUUAGAGAAGAACAAGUGCUAGAGUAACUGUUAGCGCCUUGACGGUAUCUAACCAGAAAGCCACGGCUAACUACGUGCCAGCAGCCGCGGUAAUACGUAGGUGGCAAGCGUUGUCCGGAUUUAUUGGGCGUAAAGCGAGCGCAGGCGGUUCCUUAAGUCUGAUGUGAAAGCCCCCGGCUCAACCGGGGAGGGUCAUUGGAAACUGGGGAACUUGAGUGCAGAAGAGGAGAGUGGAAUUCCAUGUGUAGCGGUGAAAUGCGUAGAUAUAUGGAGGAACACCAGUGGCGAAGGCGACUCUCUGG
RNAcentral lists this ribosomal RNA (674 nucleotides) under uncultured Bacilli bacterium. RNAcentral's name for it is "bacterial SSU rRNA". It matches the Rfam family "Bacterial small subunit ribosomal RNA", at positions 74 to 732 of the family's 1533-position model. Lineage: Bacteria; Bacillati; Bacillota; Bacilli. The record is from RNAcentral.